AUGUUCUGCUCGGGAUCCCAUCAGAGCGUGGCCCAGAGGAGCUGGUGCUGCUGCCAACCCUCAGCGGUGCCACAGCAGCCAGGCACCAAGAGACAGCGUGGCACUAUGAGCAUAUCCCAGCCCUCAGCCAUGCUGAGCAUGCAUGGAAAUAGCAGUGCUGCAUCUCCUGCUAACCCAGCGGGACAACAAGGGCUGCUUCACGGGGAGGUGACACAGAGGUGGCUGCAGAUGAGGCAGCUCGAGGAGAGAAGCCACCUGCCGAGGCCACCAGCUGUUCCUGUCCCAGAUCUGAGCCAAACUGUGGGUCCCAGACCCAAGAGAGCAAGGCACGGAGCUUGGAUCCAUGAACCUCUGGGAGCCAUUGGAUGGGGAACUCAACUUCAGUGCUCAGAAUGUGUGCUGGGAGGGACUGAGGAGCAGCUGUGGAGCUCUGUGUCUUACCAUCAUUAUGACUGGGGGAGAAGAAUCCAAACACAAAUGACCUCAUGCUGCAGUCAGCCCUGA
RNAcentral lists this long non-coding RNA (504 nucleotides) under Numida meleagris (helmeted guineafowl). RNAcentral describes it as "lncRNA (ENSNMEG00000006010.1)". Lineage: Eukaryota; Metazoa; Chordata; Aves; Galliformes; Numididae. The record is from RNAcentral.